Molecule: ribosomal RNA, 2606 nt
Filed under: Triticum aestivum (bread wheat)
Lineage: Eukaryota; Viridiplantae; Streptophyta; Magnoliopsida; Poales; Poaceae
Description: partial small subunit ribosomal RNA
Source: RNAcentral
CUUUGCUUCUCUCCCAACCCCCUCCAUCCUCCUCUGCUUCUCCUGCAGUGCCAUACCGCAUCCUCUUAUGUGCUCCACUGCAAGCACCAACAAGGCAGACGCUUCGCCUUCUCCAGAUCUGUGAAGCGAUGAACAGGGCAUCGAGGCGUUAGGUAUCACGAGAAGAAGCUCUGCCCAUGAUCCCUCGCCACCAAACUCAUUCUACCAGGGGAGACUAGCCACCAUCUGAAUGGCUUCGUCGACUCAAAGCUCCCCGAGUGUCGGUCAAGCACUUCAUGACGUGGUACCUCCUGGUCGUUUUAUAUGCGUAGCUGUGGAGCCAUCUCCGGCGCCUCUGCCAUAAAGGUAGCCGUCUCUCUUGCUCUCUGCUUCAGGAGCAAGGCCCCCUGUUUUCUUUCAUUUGCCAGAGCCGACGACCUCGCAAUUGAGAAGGUUACUAAUCCCUUAUGUCAAUCCCUGUUCAUAUCUCUCAAAUUAACCUCAGGGUGUUGUCGAUUUUGCUUCGUGCAUGUCUGCUUCCGCUCAAGUUAUAGCACUGGGUGAAAUUUUGAGUCCCCAUCGCCAGUUGGUACCUCCCUCUCAUCAUCUGAUAUGUAUCAGCAAAAGGGUCUCGCCCCGAUUCCGUUUCAGAAAUCAGGUACUAUAUAGUUUGGUAGCAAGAGGAACACAGCUAACAUACAGGCUCAGCGGAAAGAAAGGAAGGAAACGCCAACCAGCCACUAGGAAAGGCAUAUAACUUUUGUAUUUGCGAGAAAAAAGGCGUAUAACUAAUUACAGAGAUUUCAUACACAUUAACUCGAAAUGACAGAAUAAUCAGGCUGAGGAGAUUAAUUGCCGAUUAUUUUUCACAUGCCUUCUAUACUUAUGCACAUGAAUGAAUUCCCUAUUUUUUGCAUCCUCAAUCGUGCAUCUUUAAUUAUUUAUUGGUUGUUGUUCUGAAUUGUUGUGAAAUUGUGCUAUCUAAUUUCCUACAUAUAUGGUUAUCGUACUUGAGGGUUGGAGGUCCAAGAUUUAUAUUGACAUGCACAAUAUCAAAACAGGGAAAACAAUCUUAAGCACUGCAGAUUGUUUCUCUAGCUCUAUAGGAUAUUGUAGAUUAUUUCAAGUUUUGAUGUUUACUUUCAGUUGUCCAAGCAUAUUUUCCUAACAAUUGUAUCUUUUCUUUACCAGGAGAUUUUAUUCCUCAUUUAAGUUCCUUUCAAGAAUCAAGACUACCAUGGACAAUUUUUUUGUUUCAACUCAUGUAAACCUAAAGUGUUGGCUGCAUGUUGUCAUGAGAAUAGGAUCAUCGGCUUAAGGUAAAUACAUAUCUCAAUAAACCAUUUAAUGAUUAUAAUUUCUAAUUGUUCCUUUGUUUUGACUAAGAAAUAUAAGAGCAUAUGAGCAGAGAAACUGUAGACAAAAUACAAUCUACAGCCAUCCAUGGUCAUUAUUACAAGGGCAAAGGAGGUUGCGUAACUCUGGUGGUCAAAAACACUGUUGUCCGCGCUUCUAUAUCCUAAGUAUUAGGGCUAAUAACCGCCCUGCAAGGCUCCAAAAAGGUAUUUGUUUCUCUUACCAUGACAAUGAUGCAGCUCCCAGCACACAGGAAAGUGCCGUCAGAUAACACACAUAUUCGUCUCCCUUUCUUUUGUGUGUGCGCGUGUGUGCUCAGAUAUUCAUUUUUUCCCACUUCGUGAAUCAUUCAUGCCCGCUAUAUUCAUUCAGCCUGAUGCUCAACAAUUUUUUUUUUGCAUACACGCUUGUGGUAUUACUUACUGAUGUUUCUUUUGCCGUGCAGGGGAUGCUCUUUAGAAAAUUUGUUACCUCUAAAGCCAUAUUUUCUGAAAUGAAAUUUGAUCAUUCCUAUGCCCCCUCCAUUUUCUUGAAUUGAAGUUCCAUCAUAGUUUGCAGAAAUCAGCUUAUUAGUUGUCCUCUUAGAUCAAUCCUCAAGUUUGUUAUAAGUUGUUUGCCACCUUAUGACUAAUGACAAUGUUCUAAAUAAAACAAAUUGUACUUCCAUAUGUGUCUAGCUCUCCAUGUUUCAAUUUCUCAGAAGUAAAGACGCACUUCAAUAAUUUUAAGCUAAGCUUCUUGCUUGCUUUCCGGAAUAAUUAUUUUGUUAUAUGUGCCAACUGGCUACAUUCAAUUUAACCUUUGCUUUAUGGUAUAAUAAUAUUCAAAUAUUUCAUGAGGUCAUGGGUUUGAGUCAUGCCUCUUGCAGAAAUGUAGGGAAAGACUGCAUAGUACGACCCAAAGCAGUCGAACCCUUACCGGACCCUAUGCAAGCGGGAGCUACGUGCACCGGGCCGCUCCCUUUAUGGUAAUAAUAAUAUUCAAAUAUUUCAUUAUGUGAUGAGGUGACAUUAUUAGAGGCUAAUUCACCUUGGAUUGUUCUAUUCCUCUCCAGAAAAGAUUUGCAUAUAUACGACAUGUGCACUGUGAUUGGAUUGCAACUGAGUUGCAUUUGUCCUUAUCAUUCUAUUGUACUAGAGUGCAUGCAUUCUCACUUUUGUAUUGUCUAUUUAUACAAACAACCGUAGAUAACUUAUGCUACUCCACGGUAUUAACAUACUUACUAAUUGAAAAAGCACCUUAUGAUCUGUACAAUUGCCCUUGAUAUGUCC